RNAcentral lists this ribosomal RNA (678 nucleotides) under uncultured bacterium. Its description in RNAcentral is "bacterial SSU rRNA". It matches the Rfam family "Bacterial small subunit ribosomal RNA", at positions 33 to 704 of the family's 1533-position model. The record is from RNAcentral.
ACGCUGGCGGCAGGCCUAACACAUGCAAGUCGAGCGGUAGAGAGAAGCUUGCUUCUCUUGAGAGCGGCGGACGGGUGAGUAAUGCCUAGGAAUCUGCCUGGUAGUGGGGGAUAACGUUCGGAAACGGACGCUAAUACCGCAUACGUCCUACGGGAGAAAGCAGGGGACCUUCGGGCCUUGCGCUAUCAGAUGAGCCUAGGUCGGAUUAGCUAGUUGGUGGGGUAAUGGCUCACCAAGGCGACGAUCCGUAACUGGUCUGAGAGGAUGAUCAGUCACACUGGAACUGAGACACGGUCCAGACUCCUACGGGAGGCAGCAGUGGGGAAUAUUGGACAAUGGGCGAAAGCCUGAUCCAGCCAUGCCGCGUGUGUGAAGAAGGUCUUCGGAUUGUAAAGCACUUUAAGUUGGGAGGAAGGGUUGUAGAUUAAUACUCUGCAAUUUUGACGUUACCGACAGAAUAAGCACCGGGCUAACUCUGUGCCAGCAGCCGCGGUAAUACAGAGGGUGCAAGCGUUAAUCGGAAUUACUGGGCGUAAAGCGCGCGUAGGUGGUUAGUUAAGUUGGAUGUGAAAUCCCCGGGCUCAACCUGGGAACUGCAUUCAAAACUGACCCGACUAGAGUAUGGUAGAGGGUGGUGGAAUUUCCUGUGUAGCGGUGAAAUGCGUAGAUAUAGGAAGG